AGAGAACGCUGGCGGUAGGCCUAACACAUGCAAGUCGAACGGCAGCACAGAGGAGCUUGCUCCUUGGGUGGCGAGUGGCGGACGGGUGAGGAAUACAUCGGAAUCUACUCUGUCGUGGGGGAUAACGUAGGAAACUUACGCUAAUAACGCAUACGACCUACGGGUGAAAGCAGGGGAUCUUCGGACCUUGCGCGAUUGAAUGAGCCGAUGUCGGAUUAGCUAGUUUGCGGGGUAAAGGCCCACCAAGGCGACGAUCCGUAGCUGGUCUGAGAGGAUGAUCAGCCACACUGGGACUGAGACACGGUCCAGACUCCUACGGGAGGCAGCAGUGGGGAAUAUUGGACAAUGGGCGCAAGCCUGAUCCAGCCAUACCGCGUGGGUGAAGAAGGCCUUCGGGUUGUAAAGCCCUUUUGUUGGGAAAGAAAUCCAUCUGGUUAAUACCCGGGUGGGAUGACGGUACCCAAAGAAUAAGCACCGGCUAACUUCGUGCCAGCAGCCGCCGUAA
This 505-nucleotide ribosomal RNA is filed under the name uncultured bacterium. RNAcentral's name for it is "partial 16S ribosomal RNA". It matches the Rfam family "Bacterial small subunit ribosomal RNA", at positions 31 to 523 of the family's 1533-position model. The record is from RNAcentral.